GAUGAACGCUGGCGGCGUGCCUAAUACAUGCAAGUCGAGCGAACGGACGAGAAGCUUGCUUCUCUGAUGUUAGCGGCGGACGGGUGAGUAACACGUGGAUAACCUACCUAUAAGACUGGGAUAACUUCGGGAAACCGGAGCUAAUACCGGAUAAUAUUUUGAACCGCAUGGUUCAAAAGUGAAAGACGGUCUUGCUGUCACUUAUAGAUGGAUCCGCGCUGCAUUAGCUAGUUGGUAAGGUAACGGCUUACCAAGGCAACGAUGCAUAGCCGACCUGAGAGGGUGAUCGGCCACACUGGAGCUGAGACACGGUCCAGACGCCUACGGGAGGCAGCAGUAGGGAAUCUUCCGCAAUGGGCGAAAGCCUGACGGAGCAACGCCGCGUGAGUGGUGAAGGUCUUCGGAUCGUAAUACUCUGUUAUUAGGGAAGAACAUAUGUGUAAGUAACUGUGCACAGCUUGACGGUACCUAGUCAGAAAGCCACGGCUAACUACGUG
Molecule: ribosomal RNA, 497 nt
Filed under: uncultured bacterium
Lineage: Bacteria
Description: partial 16S ribosomal RNA
Rfam family: Bacterial small subunit ribosomal RNA
Source: RNAcentral